GACGAACGCUGGCGGCGUGCUUAACACAUGCAAGUCGAACGGAAAGGCCCUGCUUUUGUGGGGUGCUCGAGUGGCGAACGGGUGAGUAACACGUGAGUAACCUGCCCUUGACUUUGGGAUAACUUCAGGAAACUGGGGCUAAUACCGGAUAGGAGCUCCUGCUGCAUGUUGGGGGUUGGAAAGUUUCGGCGGUUGGGGAUGGACUCGCGGCUUAUCCGCUUGUUGGUGGGGUAGUGGCUUACCAAGGCUUUGACGGGUAGCCGGCCUGAGAGGGUGACCGGCCACAUUGGGACUGAGAUACGGCCCAGACUCCUACGGGAGGCAGCAGUGGGGAAUAUGGCACAAUGGGCGGAAGCCUGAUGCAGCAACGCCGCGUGCGGGAUGAAGGCCUUCGGGUUGUAAACCGCUUUCGCCUGUGACGAAGCGUGAGUGACGGUAAUGGGUAAAGAAGCACCGGCUAACUACGUG
RNAcentral lists this ribosomal RNA (468 nucleotides) under uncultured bacterium. Its description in RNAcentral is "partial 16S ribosomal RNA". It matches the Rfam family "Bacterial small subunit ribosomal RNA", at positions 28 to 507 of the family's 1533-position model. The record is from RNAcentral.